This is a long non-coding RNA of Eufriesea mexicana, 283 nucleotides long. RefSeq lists it as uncharacterized. Lineage: Eukaryota; Metazoa; Arthropoda; Insecta; Hymenoptera; Apidae. The transcript has 3 exons. The record is from RefSeq and is a predicted model, not a curated record.
UAAACUCGAAGAAGCACUUGUAGAUGAGAAUGAUAAUCUAGUUUAUCCUCCAAGGUAGAUAAAACCUAUAAUAUUGAACAAUCCAUUUUCCGAUAUUAUACCAAGAAUAAUAGUACAGGAAGGUGAAGAAGUAAAAGACAGUUCAGAAACUCAUACAGCAGGAGUAAAACAUUUCAAUCUUCUAUCAUUUCGUGAAAGGGCAGAGAAAGAUGUAGAAGAAUCCGUGAUAUUAAAUAAGAAGUUUAGUGGUAAGGGCAAAUCAACUCAUGAUCAUUCAACUGAU